UACGCAGGCGGAAAAUUAAGUCAGUGGUGAAAUCCUGCAGCUUAACUGUAGAACUGUCAUUGAUACUGGUUUUCUUGAAUGUAGUUGAGGUAGGCGGAAUGUGUAAUGUAGCGGUGAAAUGCUUAGAUAUUACACAGAACACCGAUUGCGAAGGCAGCUUACUAAGCUACUAUUGACACUGAGGGACGAAAGCGUGGGGAGCGAACAGGAUUAGAUACCCUGGUAGUCC
Molecule: ribosomal RNA, 229 nt
Filed under: uncultured bacterium
Lineage: Bacteria
Description: partial 16S ribosomal RNA
Rfam family: Bacterial small subunit ribosomal RNA
Source: RNAcentral